GCUGGAGUUGUGGCUCAGUGGUAGAGAGUUUGCCUAGCAUGUGCAAGACCCUGGGUUCUCUCCCCAGUGCAGCA
Molecule: transfer RNA, 74 nt
Filed under: Marmota monax (woodchuck)
Lineage: Eukaryota; Metazoa; Chordata; Mammalia; Rodentia; Sciuridae
Description: tRNA.Ala
Source: RNAcentral